CCUACGGGUGACUGCAGUGGGGAAUAUUGGACAAUGGAGGCAACUCUGACCCAGCAACGCCGCGUGAAUGAUGAAGGUCUUCGGAUUGUAAAGUUCUUUUCUAAGGGAAGAAGAAAGUGACGGUACCUUAGGAAUAAGCCUCGGCUAACUACAUGCCAGCAGCCGCGGUAAUACGUAGGAGGCAAGCGUUAUCCGGAAUGACUGGGCGUAAAGGGUGCGUAGGUGGUUUGACAAGUUAGUAGCGCAACUCCGGGGCUCACCUUCGGAACUACUACUAAAACUGUUGGACUUGAGUGCAGGAGGGGCAAUCGGAAUUCCUGGUGUAGCGGUGGAAUGCGUAGAUAUUAGGUGGAACACCAGUGGCGAAGGCGGAUUGCUGGACUGUAACUGACACUGAGGCACGAAAGCGUGGGGAGCAAACAGGAUUAGAUACCCUAGUAGUC
Molecule: ribosomal RNA, 443 nt
Filed under: uncultured bacterium
Lineage: Bacteria
Description: partial 16S ribosomal RNA
Rfam family: Bacterial small subunit ribosomal RNA
Source: RNAcentral